RNAcentral lists this ribosomal RNA (304 nucleotides) under uncultured Meliniomyces. RNAcentral describes it as "eukaryotic LSU rRNA". The stretch from base 1 to 122 matches the Rfam family "5.8S ribosomal RNA", at positions 33 to 154 of the family's 154-position model. The record is from RNAcentral. Lineage: Eukaryota; Fungi; Ascomycota; Leotiomycetes; Helotiales; Helotiaceae.
UCGAUGAAGAACGCAGCGAAAUGCGAUAAGUAAUGUGAAUUGCAGAAUUCAGUGAAUCAUCGAAUCUUUGAACGCACAUUGCGCCCCUUGGUAUUCCGAGGGGCAUGCCUGUUCGAGCGUCAUUAUAACCACUCAAGCUUCGGCUUGGUCUUGGGGUUCGCGGUCUCGCGUCCCUUAAAAUCAGUGGCGGUGCCGUCUGGCUCUAAGCGUAGUAAUUCUCUCGCUAUAGGGUCCCGGUGGUUGCCUGCCAGAACCCCCAUUUACGGUUGACCUCGGAUCAGGUAGGGAUACCCGCUGAACUUAA